Molecule: ribosomal RNA, 305 nt
Filed under: uncultured bacterium
Lineage: Bacteria
Description: bacterial SSU rRNA
Rfam family: Bacterial small subunit ribosomal RNA
Source: RNAcentral
GUGCCCUACGGGAGGCAGCAGUGGGGAAUAUUGGGCAAUGGGCGCAAGCCUGACCCAGCAACGCCGCGUGAAGGAAGAAGGCUUUCGGGUUGUAAACUUCUUUUAAGAGGGAAGAGUAGAAGACGGUACCUCUUGAAUAAGCCACGGCUAACUACGUGCCAGCAGCCGCGGUAAUACGUAGGUGGCAAGCGUUGUCCGGAUUUACUGGGUGUAAAGGGCGUGUAGACGGCUGUGCAAGUCUGAAGUGAAAGCCCAGGGCUCAACCCUGGGACUGCUUUGGAAACUGUGGAGCUAGAGUGCUGGAG